Molecule: ribosomal RNA, 676 nt
Filed under: Dietzia sp. C-119
Lineage: Bacteria; Bacillati; Actinomycetota; Actinomycetes; Mycobacteriales; Dietziaceae
Description: bacterial SSU rRNA
Rfam family: Bacterial small subunit ribosomal RNA
Source: RNAcentral
AGAGUUUGAUCCUGGCUCAGGACGAACGCUGGCGGCGUGCUUAACACAUCCAAGUCGAACGGUAAGGCCCUUUCGGGGGUACACGAGUGGCGAACGGGUGAGUACCACGUGGGUAAUCUGCCCUGCACUUCGGGAUAAGCCUGGGAAACCGGGUCUAAUACCGGAUAUGAGCUCCUGCCGCAUGGUGGGGGUUGGAAAGUUUUUCGGUGCAGGAUGAGUCCGCGGCCUAUCAGCUUGUUGGUGGGGUAAUGGCCUACCAAGGCGACGACGGGUAGCCGGCCUGAGAGGGUGAUCGGCCACACUGGGACUGAGACACGGCCCAGACUCCUACGGGAGGCAGCAGUGGGGAAUAUUGCACAAUGGGCGAAAGCCUGAUGCAGCGACGCCGCGUGGGGGAUGACGGUCUUCGGAUUGUAAACUCCUUUCAGUAGGGACGAAGCGAAAGUGACGGUACCUGCAGAAGAAGCACCGGCCAACUACGUGCCAGCAGCCGCGGUAAUACGUAGGGUGCAAGCGUUGUCCGGAAUUACUGGGCGUAAAGAGCUCGUAGGCGGUUUGUCACGUCGUCUGUGAAAUCCUCCAGCUCAACUGGGGGCGUGCAGGCGAUACGGGCAGACUUGAGUACUACAGGGGAGACUGGAAUUCCUGGUGUAGCGGUGAAAUGCGCAGAUAUCAG